This 351-nucleotide ribosomal RNA is filed under the name Triticum aestivum (bread wheat). Its description in RNAcentral is "partial small subunit ribosomal RNA". Lineage: Eukaryota; Viridiplantae; Streptophyta; Magnoliopsida; Poales; Poaceae. The record is from RNAcentral.
AUGGUCUCCUGCAGCUACCUGAACUUUGCUUCGGUGCUGCAGUUUCUGUGGAGUUUGCCCCUUGCUUGUCUGGAUAUCUUUUCUCUGAGGAAUGAAAAGGAUCUUCAAGCACCGGCUCGUCUAUUGCUCAUUGUUAUCAUUGACUGGGCCGUGGCGGUUCUCAUGUUCUCAGGAGUCUGUGCCGCCGCCUGCCUGACGAUUUUCUUCAUGAAGGAUGUGAACUUCUGUGAGGGGUUCUCGUGGCUGGGAUGCAAUCAGUUCGCGCUUUCGGUCACCCUGGCAUUCAUCACGUGGUCGCUGCAAGCUGCGUCUUCUUUCUCCGGGUUAUGGCUACUGGUCUCGUUCUUCUAG